Callithrix jacchus (white-tufted-ear marmoset) is the source of this 2374-nucleotide long non-coding RNA. Lineage: Eukaryota; Metazoa; Chordata; Mammalia; Primates; Cebidae. The record is from Ensembl.
CUAAAAAUGGCAUGCAAGCUUUCUCAAAAAAAAAAAGUUUCGUUUACAGAAUGCCAGAAUAGGUCUGGUUUCCCUUUCAAUUGUUUCUCCUUCAUAUCAAUGAAGCUUGGGUCACAGAUUUCACGUGGCCUCUUCUUUGUUUGGAGAACAACGCUGGCACACUAGGUAUGGAGACUAAAGGAGAGAGGAGACUAGAGAACAGAGCCAGCUUCCCUCUGAGUCAGACACUGAAGGGCUGUGGGAAAGGGAGCUGGCCUCCAGGGCCUUCCGAUCUGACCACUUUUUCAAGCCACUCCUUUAUCUUGCAGGAAGGAGGAGGCCGAGCCCUCUUGCCACCAGAGAAGAUCAAUCAGGAUCCCUCUAAGGAAGGGACAGCCACAUAUCCUAGCCUGCCAAUGACACAGGAUGAAUUUCAAAGGAACAGAUAUGACGCUCCCCUGUCAUUCAGUCAUGGAGAGGUAAGUCUGAAUUUAUUUUCUAGGAAGCUAGAUCUUAUUAACAUACCAUGUAACUUUACUUCAAGAUAGCUCUUUCUAAAAACAGUAUUACUACCAUGCAGCCUUAAGUACCCAUACUCUGGAAACACUUAGAGGGAAUGAGAUGAUUGGGAGAAAGAAGAUGGAGAUCAGAUCUACUUGAAAGAAAUACAUCAUGAGGAAACUUGAAACUAUCGAAUACAGAGAAGUUUGAGAAUCUUUCUUAAUCUUAAUUAUUUGUUCUAUAUUUAUCUCCUUUUGUCACUGAUAAUGUGAUUUUCUGUACCCAAUAAAGGUAAAUGUAAGUAAUAUGUUUAGAAUUUAAUUGUGUAUUUCAUCAAGGAAAUGCCUUUCUUUCUUUCUUUUUUUUUUUUUUUUGAGACAGAGUCUCACUCUGUCACCCAGGCUAGAGUGCAGUGACACGAUCUCGGCCCACUGCAAACUCCACUUCCCGGGUUCAAGCACUUCUCCUGCCUCAACCUCCUGAGUAGCUGGGACUACAGGUACAUGCCACCAUGCAUGGCUAACUUUUGUAUUUUUAGUAGAGAUGAGGUUUUGUCACGUUGGCCAGGCUGGUCUUUAACUCUUGGCCUCAUGUGAUCUGCCUGCCUCUUCCUCCCAAAGUGCUAACAUAGGCGAGAGCCACCUUGCCCAGCUGCGGUUUAGAUUGUAAAAUUAUUAACUACUUUAAUGGGAUUUGUGUUACCAAGUGUCUUAAAAACCAGUGGUCUAGAAUUCAUUUUUAAACUAUACUCCUACUUCUGUCUGUUCUUUUUAAGUCAUUGAAAAUUCUGAAGAAAUACAAUAAAGUGAAUUAUUUUUUGGAGUAUACCAACGUUAUGAAAAUAUUGAAAGGAGAAGAAAGAGGAAAAAUAGAGGAGUAAAAUAUAGGAGAUUUCCUCACCACCCCCACUCCCCACCUUUAUUAAAGAGAGCCACAAAAACCAUGAAGGUGUGUUUAUGAGGUCAUAUGAGAGAAGGAAGAAAAAGUGUGAGAAAAUUUAACAUUUGCAAAUUGGAAGCAGAAGCUGGAGGCCAUCUGGAGCAGCAAUGUGCCUCCUCAUUACCUUAUCUCCCAAUACGAAAGGAAGCAGAAACAAAGGCCAGGGUUUCUCCCUGAUCGGUAGCCAGACAACCAGCUAUAAAGGAGAAAAGAUAUAACUACCCUGGAGGAACAUAUAAAAGAUUUCUACUACAUUGAGAGAGAAAGGUUACUGAUCAGUGCACUGUGGUUUACAUUUUUUUUAAAUAUCUCAAACAUAUCAAAGAAAGCAAGAGGAGAGUAAGGAAUGCUAAAACAGAAGUAUCGUAGACAAAAUACUAAAACUUAAAUAUAUUUGAUCCUCAUUUGACCUAAUGAAUAGUAAAAUUAUAAAGAGGUAAUAAAUAAAAGGGUAAAUUUAAAAAAAAAAAAAACAGAAAUAAAAGAGGAACGGAAAGCAUCAUUAAGUAUUUUCCUCACCAUCAGAAGGUAAAAACUAUAAGGAGGAAAAUAGAAUCUCAGACAAUGAAAUGACAAAAUAAUCUUCAAUUUGAAACUGCAAAACUCCAUUGCAGAAAGCCUCUGAUUACAUUAGAAGAAUGUCUUUGCUGGUUGCCUGCAGUGGUUCCAGGCUCAGAUUGCUGUAAAGAUUUAUAGGAAAAGUUUGUUUCUCUUCCCCAGAUCAUGGCAGUCAAGAUAAUACAAUGCCUUUGAGAUUUUUAUCAAAAGUGAACCACAGCAGCCACUAAACUCUCUAAUUUAGAGAUUAGAAUCACCCAAGGAGCUACUAAGGAUCUGAUUCACAUGAUCCCUCCUUACCAGGGAUGCUAUUUCAUUAUCUGAGAAAGAGGCCCAGGGAUUCACAUUUUUACUAGUAUCUAAGGUGAUCCUAGAACAGGGGGCUCCUGAAUCUCGC